This 478-nucleotide ribosomal RNA is filed under the name uncultured bacterium. RNAcentral describes it as "partial 16S ribosomal RNA". It matches the Rfam family "Bacterial small subunit ribosomal RNA", at positions 28 to 523 of the family's 1533-position model. The record is from RNAcentral.
GACGAACGCUGGCGGCGUGCUUAACACAUGCAAGUCGAGCGAUGAAGUUCCUUCGGGAAUGGAUUAGCGGCGGACGGGUGAGUAACACGUGGGUAACCUGCCUCAUAGAGGGGAAUAGCCUUUCGAAAGGAAGAUUAAUACCGCAUAAGAUUGUAGUUUCGCAUGAAGCAGCAAUUAAAGGAGUAAUCCGCUAUGAGAUGGACCCGCGUCGCAUUAGCUAGUUGGUGAGGUAACGGCCCACCAAGGCGACGAUGCGUAGCCGACCUGAGAGGGUGAUCGGCCACAUUGGGACUGAGACACGGCCCAGACUCCUACGGGAGGCAGCAGUGGGGAAUAUUGCACAAUGGGGGAAACCCUGAUGCAGCAACGCCGCGUGAGUGAUGACGGUCUUCGGAUUGUAAAGCUCUGUCUUCAGGGACGAUAAUGACGGUACCUGAGGAGGAAGCCACGGCUAACUACGUGCCAGCCGCCGCGGUAA